This 675-nucleotide ribosomal RNA is filed under the name uncultured beta proteobacterium. Its description in RNAcentral is "bacterial SSU rRNA". It matches the Rfam family "Bacterial small subunit ribosomal RNA", at positions 1 to 668 of the family's 1533-position model. The record is from RNAcentral. Lineage: Bacteria; Pseudomonadati; Pseudomonadota; Betaproteobacteria.
CCGCGGGAUUAGAGUUUGAUCCUGACUCAGAUUGAACGCUGGCGGCAUGCCUUACACAUGCAAGUCUAACGGCAGCACUGGAGCAAUCCUGGUGGCGAGUGGCGAACGGGUGAGUAAUACAUCUGAACGUGCCCAAUCGUGGGGGAUAACUACGCGAAAGCGUACCUAAUACCGCAUACGAUCUACCGAUGAAAGCGGGGGAUCGCAAGACCUCGCGCGAGUGGAGCGGCUGAUGGCAGAUUAGGUAGUUGGCGGGGUAAAAGCUCACCAAGCCUGCGAUCUGUAGCUGGUCUGAGAGGACGACCACCCACAGUGGGACUGAGACACGGCCCAUACUCCUACGGGAGGCAGCAGUGGGGAAUUUUGGACAAUGGGCGCAAGCCUGAUCCAGCUAUGCCGCGUGCACGAUGAAGGCCUUCGGGUUGUAAACUGCUUUUGUACGGAACGAAAAGGCUUUUUCUAAUACAUAAAGUCAAUGACGGUACCGUAAGAAUAAGCACCGGCUAACUACGUGCCAGCAGCCGCGGUAAUACGUAGGGUGCGAGCGUUCAUCGGAAUUACUGGGCGUAAAGCGUGCGCAGGCGGUCUUGUAAGACAGGUGUGAAAUCCCCGGGCUUAACCUGGGAAUUGCAUUUGUGACUGCGAGGCUGGAGUGCGGCAGAUGGGGAUGGAAUU